This 622-nucleotide ribosomal RNA is filed under the name Gymnothorax nudivomer (starry moray). RNAcentral describes it as "partial 16S ribosomal RNA subunit". It matches the Rfam family "Bacterial large subunit ribosomal RNA", at positions 1796 to 2619 of the family's 2925-position model. The record is from RNAcentral. Lineage: Eukaryota; Metazoa; Chordata; Actinopteri; Anguilliformes; Muraenidae.
UCGCCUGUUUAUCAAAAACAUCGCCUCUUGCUAACAAUGAAGUAUUAGAGGUCCCGCCUGCCCUGUGACAGCAGUGUUUAACGGCCGCGGUAUUUUAACCGCGCGAAGGUAGCGUAAUCACUUGUCUUUUAAAUGGAGACCUGUAUGAAUGGCAUAACGAGGGUUUGACUGUCUCCUCCCCCCAGUCAAUGAAAUUGAUCUGCCCGUGCAGAAGCGGGUAUAACAACAUAAGACGAGAAGACCCUAUGGAGCUUUAGGCAAAUAAUCAAGCACAUACAACCCAAGCACCAAACAAAGCCAGGGAAACAAAAACCGCUGAUUAACCUGCCUUCGGUUGGGGCGACCAUGGAAGAAAGAAAAACCUCCAAGUGGAACGGGAGAACCCUUCAACCAAGAGACACAACUCCAAGUACCAGAAAAUCUGACCAACAAUGACCCAGGAUACCCCUGAUCAACGAACCAAGUUACCCUAGGGAUAACAGCGCAAUCCUCUCCCAGAGUCCAUAUCGACGAGGGGGUUUACGACCUCGAUGUUGGAUCAGGACAUCCUAAUGGUGCAGCCGCUAUUAAGGGUUCGUUUGUUCAACGAUUAAUAGUCCUACGUGAUCUGAGUUCAGACCGG